Molecule: ribosomal RNA, 274 nt
Filed under: uncultured bacterium
Lineage: Bacteria
Description: partial 16S ribosomal RNA
Rfam family: Bacterial small subunit ribosomal RNA
Source: RNAcentral
AUACGGAGGGUGCAAGCGUUAUUCGGAAUCACUGGGCGUAAAGGACGCAUAGGCGGGUUGGCAAGUCAGAUGUGAAAUCCUACAGCUUAACUGUAGAACUGCAUUUGAAACUGCUAACCUAGAGUAUGGGAGGGGGAGAUGGAAUUAGUGGUGUAGGGGUAAAAUCCAUAGAUAUCACUAGGAAUACCGAAAGCGAAGGCGAUCUCCUGGAACAUAACUGACGCUAAGGCGUGAAAGCGUGGGGAGCAAACAGGAUUAGAAACCCCAGUAGUCC